AGCGAACGCUGGCGGCAGGCUUAACACAUGCAAGUCGAGCGGGCACUUUCGGGUGUCAGCGGCGGACGGGUGAGUAACGUGUGGGAACGUGCCCUCUGGUUCGGAAUAACUCAGGGAAACUUGAGCUAAUACCGGAUACGCCCUUUUGGGGAAAGGCUUGCUGCCGGAGGAUCGGCCCGCGUCUGAUUAGCUAGUUGGUGAGGUAACGGCUCACCAAGGCGACGAUCAGUAGCUGGUCUGAGAGGAUGAUCAGCCACACUGGGACUGAGACACGGCCCAGACUCCUACGGGAGGCAGCAGUGGGGAAUAUUGGACAAUGGGCGCAAGCCUGAUCCAGCCAUGCCGCGUGAGUGAUGAAGGCCUUAGGGUUGUAAAGCUCUUUUAUCCGGGACGAUAAUGACGGUACCGGAGGAAUAAGCCCCGGCUAACUUCGUG
This 435-nucleotide ribosomal RNA is filed under the name uncultured bacterium. Its description in RNAcentral is "partial 16S ribosomal RNA". It matches the Rfam family "Bacterial small subunit ribosomal RNA", at positions 29 to 507 of the family's 1533-position model. The record is from RNAcentral.